GAUGAACGCUAGCGAUAGGCCUAACACAUGCAAGUCGAGGGGCAUCACAUGAAGUAGCAAUACGGAUGGUGGCGACCGGCGCACGGGUGAGUAACACGUAUGCAACCUGCCUUCAACAAGGGGAUAACCCGUUGAAAGACGGACUAAUACCCUAUAACACAGGGGUCCCGCAUGGGAAUAUUUAUUAAAGGACAACCGGUUGAAGAUGGGCAUGCGUUCCAUUAGCUAGUUGGCGGGGUAACGGCCCACCAAGGCAACGAUGGAUAGGGGAACUGAGAGGUUUAUCCCCCACACUGGUACUGAGACACGGACCAGACUCCUACGGGAGGCAGCAGUGAGGAAUAUUGGUCAAUGGACGCAAGUCUGAACCAGCCACGUCGCGUGAAGGAAGACGGCCCUACGGGUUGUAAACUUCUUUUGCAAGGGAAUAAAGUGGGCCACGUGUGGCCUUUUGCAAGUACCUUGCGAAUAAGGAUCGGCUAACUCCGUGCCAGCAGCCGCGGU
This 504-nucleotide ribosomal RNA is filed under the name uncultured bacterium. Its description in RNAcentral is "bacterial SSU rRNA". It matches the Rfam family "Bacterial small subunit ribosomal RNA", at positions 28 to 521 of the family's 1533-position model. The record is from RNAcentral.